This 406-nucleotide ribosomal RNA is filed under the name uncultured bacterium. RNAcentral describes it as "partial 16S ribosomal RNA". It matches the Rfam family "Bacterial small subunit ribosomal RNA", at positions 30 to 526 of the family's 1533-position model. The record is from RNAcentral.
AUUGAACGCUGGCGGCAGGCCUAACACAUGCAAGUCGAACGAGUGGCGGACGGGUGAGUAAUGUAUGGGAAACUGCCUGAUGGAGGGGGAUAACUACUGGAAACGGUAGCUAAUACCGCAUACCAUCGGAUGUGCCCAUAUGGGAUUAGCUAGUGGGUGGGGUAAGGGCUCACCAAGGCGACGAUCCCUAGCUGGUCUGAGAGGAUGACCAGCCACACUGGAACUGAGACACGGGCCAGACGCCUACGGGAGGCAGCAGUGGGGAAUAUUGGACAAUGGGAGAAAGCCUGAUCCAGCCAUGCCGCGUGUAUGAAGAAGGCCUUCGGGUUGUAAAGUACUUUCAGCGGGGAGGCGUUACUCGCAGAAUAAGCACCGGCUAACUACGUGCCAGCAGCCGCGGUAAUUC